UUCGCGGCGCUUCCUCGCGUGUUUUUCGGCGUGUAAAAAUGUCCUGUUUUGCUGCGUGGGGCUGCUCCACUAAUAAGAAUUGUGGAAAUAUUUGGAAAUGCGACCCGGAAAAAAGAGAAGGAAGUGAAGGUCCGCCGUCAAACACCGGACAGCCACCAAUUACAGCGACUUGUGCCAGAUUGUCUCGUACCAUGGGAGGAGUGACCGCUACCGAGUUGUGUUGCCACCUGACAGGCGAAUAACCAGUGAUGGGCAGUAACAAGCUACAUGUCGCUAAGGUGGCAGCCUAGUUGCUUCGUGGAUGUCGGGAACAUGGUUUGUCGUGAUCACAACAUGCAGAUGACAGCAGGAGGCAGCGUGCAGGUAAAAA
Long non-coding RNA from Nerophis lumbriciformis (worm pipefish), 370 nucleotides. RefSeq lists it as uncharacterized. Lineage: Eukaryota; Metazoa; Chordata; Actinopteri; Syngnathiformes; Syngnathidae. The record is from RefSeq and is a predicted model, not a curated record.